AUUAUGAAUAGGAUAUCUACUACUUACAGUGUUGGUUGCAGUGUGAAAAUCUGCAAGAUAGGCAGGUUGUCGGUGAGGACGAGCUGAUCUUCUUGGAAAUUGAGGUGAAAUGCUUCUUGGAGAUGCAGGCGGUGAUAAUUCUAAUGGAGGUGCAAUGUUGGAUGCAGGAGCAGAGGCACUAUUUGUUGGAAGAUCAUAGGAUAAUGAGGUUGGUGGAAGGACAAUAUU
RNAcentral lists this long non-coding RNA (228 nucleotides) under Phaseolus vulgaris (common bean). RNAcentral's name for it is "long non-coding RNA (PVUL_LNC004134)". Lineage: Eukaryota; Viridiplantae; Streptophyta; Magnoliopsida; Fabales; Fabaceae. The record is from RNAcentral.